UGAGGAAUAUUUGGCAAUAGAUAAACGUCUGACCAAGCAAUACUACGUGAAGGAUGAAGGCUUUUGGGUUGUAAACUUCUUUUGUUGAUGAAGAAUUUAUAUUUUGUGACGUUAGUCAAAGAAUAAGUGCCGGCUAAUUCUGUGCCAGCAGCCGCGGUAAUACAGGAGGCACAAGCGUUGUUCAGUAUUAUUGGGCGUAAAGCGUACUUAGGCGGUUAUUGGCGAAGUUUAAUGUUAAAUUCCAAAGCUUAACUUUGGCUAAGCAUUGAAAACAACUAGACUGGUGUUCAGUAGAGGUAAGGGGAAUUUUAUGUGGAGCGAUGAAAUGCGUAGAUAUAUUAAAAGAACACCGAUAGGCGAAAGCACCUUGCUAGGCUGAUACGGACGCUGUAAGACGAGAGCUAGGGGAGCAAAUC
RNAcentral lists this ribosomal RNA (416 nucleotides) under uncultured bacterium. Its description in RNAcentral is "partial 16S ribosomal RNA". It matches the Rfam family "Bacterial small subunit ribosomal RNA", at positions 355 to 774 of the family's 1533-position model. The record is from RNAcentral.